This 300-nucleotide unclassified non-coding RNA is filed under the name uncultured fungus. RNAcentral describes it as "partial contains small subunit ribosomal RNA, internal transcribed spacer 1, and 5.8S ribosomal RNA". The stretch from base 1 to 73 matches the Rfam family "Eukaryotic small subunit ribosomal RNA", at positions 1759 to 1831 of the family's 1831-position model. The record is from RNAcentral. Lineage: Eukaryota; Fungi.
GCAAACUUGGUCAUUUAGAGGAAGUAAAAGUCGUAACAAGGUUUCCGUAGGUGAACCUGCGGAAGGAUCAUCAAAGAAAAAAGGGUUAGGGGGUAUAAUAUCCCCCUAUAUAACCACUCAUGUGUGCAUUGUAUAGGCGUGUGUGUGGUGUGAUACACAUAUUAUGUAUAUAUCGCGCACACGCCUCAUAUAUAUAGACUACUUGAUCUUAUGAUGAAUGUAUGAUGAUGUCAUCAUUAUGAACAUAACACAACUUUUAACAAUGGAUCUCUUGGCUCUCGCAUCGAUGAAGAACGCAGC